RNAcentral lists this ribosomal RNA (444 nucleotides) under uncultured Anaerolineaceae bacterium. RNAcentral's name for it is "bacterial SSU rRNA". It matches the Rfam family "Bacterial small subunit ribosomal RNA", at positions 924 to 1382 of the family's 1533-position model. The record is from RNAcentral. Lineage: Bacteria; Bacillati; Chloroflexota; Anaerolineae; Anaerolineales; Anaerolineaceae.
CACAAGCAGCGGAGCGUGUGGUUUAAUUCGUUGCUACACGAAGAACCUUACCUGGGUUUGACAUAUAGGUUGUAGGGAACUGAAAGGGACCGACCCUUCGGGGAGCCUAUACAGGUGUUGCAUGGCUGUCGUCAGCUCGUGUCGUGAGAUGUUCGGUUAAGUCCGCUAACGAGCGCAACCCUCGUCGUAUGUUAUAUGUGUCAUACGAGACUGCCGGUAAAAAGCCGGAGGAAGGUGAGGAUGAUGUCAAGUCAGCAUGACCUUUAUAUCCAGGGCUACACACACGCUACAAUGGUCUGUACAAUGGGUAGCCAAGCCGCGAGGCGGAGCCAAUCCUGAAAGCAGGCCUCAGUUCAGAUUGCAGUCUGCAACUCGACUGCAUGAAGCCGGAGUUGCUAGUAACCGCAGGUCAGCAAUACUGCGGUGAAUACGUUCCCGGGUCUU